CCUACGGGGGGCAGCAGUGAGGAAUAUUGGUCAAUGGCCGGAAGGCUGAACCAGCCAAGCCGCGUGAGGGAGGAAGGCGCAGAGCGUCGCAGACCUCUUUUGCCGGGGGACAAAAUGCCGGACUCGUCCGGUCCUGAGGGUACCCGGAGAAAAAGCAUCGGCUAACUCCGUGCCAGCAGCCGCGGUAAUACGGAGGAUGCGAGCGUUAUCCGGAUUCAUUGGGUUUAACGGGUGCGCAGGUGGGCCUUUAAGCCGGCGGUGAAAUCCCGGGGCAGAGCCCCGCCGAGCCGUCGGAACGGGGUGCCUGGAGUGCGGAGGAGGCAGGCGGAAUGCGCGGUGUAGCGGUGAAAUGCAUAGAGAUCGCGCAGAACCCCGAUUGCGAAGGCAGCGUGCCGAGCCGCCACUGACGCUGAGGCACGAAAGCGCGGGGAUCGAACAGGAUUAGAUACCCGGGUAGUC
RNAcentral lists this ribosomal RNA (459 nucleotides) under uncultured bacterium. Its description in RNAcentral is "partial 16S ribosomal RNA". It matches the Rfam family "Bacterial small subunit ribosomal RNA", at positions 338 to 795 of the family's 1533-position model. The record is from RNAcentral.